AAAAUUCGCGAAAUUUUGACCGAAAUCUGAAUUAAAAAGGGUAAUGAAUAGUACCAAAAUUUUUUAGGGGAUUGAAAAUUGAAAAAUUAAAAUCCAUGGAUGUUGAUUCAUGAAUAAAAGAUCUACUCAUAUCAAUUGAUGGCAUCCAACUUCUUACCGCAUCUUAGUAAUUUUUAUAACUUCUAAUAAAACGAAAAGAGAGGUUACAAAUUAUGGCUUCAAAAUUAAACAUACACUUCUUUAUCCUUGACUAAAAGAAAUCAUGAUCAAUGGAUAUGCCAAACCUAAUCCCUCGCAUGUGUAAUCACUCCUCUUGUCCUCCAAUACCGAUGAGCUCGUUCCUCUAUUUUGUCCGGUACUCCGGUGAAUCCUCCCAUCCUCCCUUGUCCUUAUCUCCACCUUGCCUCUCAUACAUGGUUACAAAUUAUGGCUUGUGGAAGCCAGAUAGGAGCCAUGGCUUAGAGCUUAUUAAAACACAUCGCACAACCCACCACGGCCUAUCAAACAGGUCAUUGCCCAAUUGCAUGCGCACAGUACAUAUCCUGGCCUCCUGCAUGCACGGCAGCAGCAGCAAGCGAGAGGCAGCAACCGUGACCUACAGCCUGCAGGACGGUGGACUCCAGUAGCACGCAGGAGGGUACGGGGUAGGU
RNAcentral lists this long non-coding RNA (650 nucleotides) under Setaria viridis. Its description in RNAcentral is "long non-coding RNA (SVIR_LNC008779)". The record is from RNAcentral. Lineage: Eukaryota; Viridiplantae; Streptophyta; Magnoliopsida; Poales; Poaceae.